AUGGCGUCUUUCUGCCGCUCCGCCGCCGCCGCGGCCAGGUCGGCUGCGCUCCGGUCCAAGUCCCGGAUCGCGAGCCCGUUCCCGGCGACGAGGUCUCCCGUUGCCGCUCCUCGCCUCCGCAGGUCCACGGUGAAGAUGCUGGCGGGCGCGGAGUCGCUGAUGCCGCUCCACAGCGCGGUGGCUGGCGCGCGGCUACGGUCGUGCAUCGCCGCCGACUCCUCCUGCUGGAGCUGCCUCUCCCAAGACUUUGCUCUUCCUCGGUGA
RNAcentral lists this ribosomal RNA (264 nucleotides) under Triticum aestivum (bread wheat). Its description in RNAcentral is "partial small subunit ribosomal RNA". The record is from RNAcentral. Lineage: Eukaryota; Viridiplantae; Streptophyta; Magnoliopsida; Poales; Poaceae.